Non-coding RNA from Pelobates cultripes (western spadefoot toad), 897 nucleotides. NCBI's taxonomy places the organism in Eukaryota, Metazoa, Chordata, Amphibia, Anura, Pelobatidae. The record is from the annotation of a GenBank genome assembly.
CAAGUCUAAUGUUAAACAAACUUGCUAGCUUCUUUAUUGCUAUUGUACGUGUCUUCAAAUCUCCUGUUGGUUGUUUCCUUGUGUAAACUCAAUCUAUGAGUAGCAUGACUCGUUUUCUGUUUUAAAUGAAGGCACGGCUCCAACAAAAAGAACACUCCAAAGAAUUACUAAAUCGAGUUGUAAAGGUUAUGCGGCCAGAAUUGCACAGUUUCCCUCCCACUCUCAGUAGUCAUAAGAGUUUUAGACUGGUUUGACUUACCUGGGGUCCACCGGGAUACUUUUCUUUUCACCGUCAUAUUUACUAUGAUAUACUAUCUCCAUAAAUAACCUAAUUUAUCUCUUUUCUUGACAUUGCAGAGAUCAUUUUUUUAAAUUAACUCAAUAUAUAAAGCAAGUGCUGGACACAAGACCGAAAAAAUAUCUGCUCCAUUGGCUUAGGUCAUCCUGGAGACUGGCCAAUCCAAUGCUCCUCAUAGAGGACAACGUAAGUGCGUGCAUGACACUCAUCGCGAUACGCCUACAAUUCCUUCAUAGACAAUCAUUGUACGCAGUGGCUGACCAUAAUGGCAUUGCUCAUGUGACGUCAUGGUACGAGAACCAGGAAGUAAGAUUCCUAGCUCUCAUACCCAAAGAUAUAUGCCUCUACGCCUUUUAUUUAGAUUAUUUUGGGAUUUGGGGUGGGUGGGGGGUAUUACGACAGGGUGACCAGCACUGAAAGCACUAUAACAACUUCAAUACGAUGAUGAUGUUAAAGUGCCUAUCAUGUCCCUUUAACCCCUUAAGGAAACAUGACAUGUGUGACAUGUCAUGAUUCCCUUUUAAACCAGAAAAUUGGUCCUUAAGGGGUUAAGGAAUGUGUAUAGCAGCAUAGUGCAAAUGAAAUUCAGCAUUACUGUG